GAUACGGAAGAUGGUAGCUAGGGAAGUUUUAAAAAGACAGGACACGAUACUAAAAAGUACUGGAAAAUAAGAUAAGUUGUCAGUUGAGGAGAAAAACUUUCGUCGUCUAGCCAGUUUUUUCAGCUUAGGGCAUUUGCCGACUGAUCAAAAUAAUAAUAAGAUGAAUCCAGGACACGACAGGGUAGUAGUUCGAAGCUAUCGGUUCGGUCAGGUUCUGAUGCCAAGGACGAGGAUUAUUGCGGCUUAUUGGCGAAACGGACGGAAAAACAACAAACUUCUUCGAAUGCAUCGUUUUGCUCACCAGACAACACGCCUGUAUUGCCUGUCUCUGUGUAUGCGUGGCUAAUUUGCGGGAUGGACGCUUCGGAACGUCCACGCCUGCCCUGUUCCUCUGCAGGGGCAUGACGGCAGCUCGUAAAAGGCGCUCACGUUCAACCACGGACAAAAUGAAAAUCGAACAAGGGUACUAUCGGAAUCAGGAUCGAGCAGAUUUUGGAAUGCUUC
Molecule: long non-coding RNA, 504 nt
Filed under: Varroa destructor (honeybee mite)
Lineage: Eukaryota; Metazoa; Arthropoda; Arachnida; Mesostigmata; Varroidae
Description: uncharacterized LOC111246242, transcript variant X2
Source: RNAcentral